RNAcentral lists this long non-coding RNA (1640 nucleotides) under Agrilus planipennis (emerald ash borer). RNAcentral's name for it is "uncharacterized LOC108741286". Lineage: Eukaryota; Metazoa; Arthropoda; Insecta; Coleoptera; Buprestidae. The record is from RNAcentral.
ACCCAGCAAGCACCACCACCAACUACAGCAGCGAGCAACAGACGCCGCUCGUUGUUACAAGUUGCUUGCUGGUACUUGGUACUGCAUCGAUUGAUUCUAAGUCAUUCAGUUAGUGUGUCGAUGGGACACUUUGUUUGUUCCUGGUUGCGAUCUUUUUUUCAUCUUCUUCACUCUUGAGACCACCUGUUCCGCUGAGUCCUCUUUAGUUCCACCAGUCGGUAACCCUUCAACUUUGCACCUAGCCUAAAAACUUGCCAGAAUUGUGCUUCCGCCCACAUCUGUAAACAGAGUGAGCAGAACUUUCUUCAAUAGUAAUUGUUUAAGGAAUUGAAACAAAAGAGAUGUCGGAACGCUGCCGCUCGUAUACGACAUUGAGAGACGCGAAUAACAAUAACACAUACACAACUACAGUGCAAAGUGCCAGUCAGCACAAGAACAAAUCAUCGGAUAACAAGACGUGUGUACAAGUGACUGCUAAAGUCCUGUUCGGAUCCGUUCAGGCUAUUUCCAGACUCAAACACGACGAGAGAAUGUCAAGGGAAAACAAAAGAAUAUAAAAACUUAUGCUAAUCCAAUAUUCUACAGUACAGUACGUGAAUUAGCUACGUAGCCUUUUUUGGUCUGUUUGAUCAGCCAAAAAAAUAUAUAUAUUUAUAGAAGGUUUUAAUUGACCCAUAGCUCCGAGUUCAACGUAUUGAGCUUCUUGAUACGUUUCUCCUAUGACCCACUUGCUCAAACCAUAUCUGACAAUGGAAAUCCUAAGGUCUAUGGACUAACAGACGAUAUUAGAACAUUAAUAUUAUACCUAAUAAUAGGUAGAUAAUGUUUACAAAAAGUGAAAGUGAAUCAUUCUACAGCAGUAAAAUGCAUAUAUAAUGAAUGUACUUUUGUUUUUACUUGUAAGUAAAUAAUAAUCAACUGAUUAACAAAAACCUACCUAUAGAUGGGAUAAUCAUUAUUUGCUAAAUGCUGAUAAUACUUUGGUAAUCCAUAGUGCCCAUAAAAUAUCAACUUUCACAUUAAGUUGAAGAAGCAUUGAAAUGAAGAAAAUUUGAAGAGACAACCGCAAUAAGGAAUUCGGAAAGGAGAAAGCUCGUGUAAUUUUUAAUGAGAUUUUCAACAAAGUCUAUCUUUUUUGAUUCACUGUUACAAUGCAAUGUUGACUUCGUUUGUUAAUUGUAAUUUUCUUCGUCAGUUCCGUGCUAUUUGACGAAGAAUCGUUUAUUUACACUAGCGCAUAAAAUAACUAACUUUAUUCAAAUUGCAUACGCAUAUAAAUAUGUAUGCAUGUGAGUGCGAUGAGUGACAAUUUAAUAAAAACAUUUCUGUUUACGUUUGUGAUUUCGUUCAGCUCAAUUUUCUCAGAAAGGAACGUUAUGAAGUCGAAUAAGAUUUGAGAGAAGAUCCACAACAAAAACAAUAACGUCUUUUUGAAUCUACAAUCAACCAGCUAGCAUUUUAGACGCGGAGCUCCAGCUUCUAGCUAUUAGCGGGAUUAAUUGAAGCAGGCGGUGCAUUAGCUCAUAAACAAUUACUUAAUUAAAGUAGUGCCAGGACUCCAUAAACAUAUUGGCUGCAGAAGACGUUAAAUCUAAUUUUAGUGCGGCGACAUAGAAGCGGAUCUUUGUCAGGAUUGUUCG